UACCUCCGCAAACUCAGGAUGAAGCGUACUGCUCACCAAGGACCAGGCAUCCUCCUAAACAAUUUAAGUUAUGAACUCAUUUACUCUUCACUAGAGCCCCCUAGUGCCAGCUUCAUUGCUCUGUGUUCUACAGAGGAGGACACCAGUGGCUCGGAGAAAUCACACACGCUGGAGACAGUCACAAAACUUGCAGAUUUACACCCAUCCUCCUCUCCCUGCCCAGGCCCUUUGCCCGCCUGGGUUAAUGAGAAACAGAAGUCAAUGGACUUGUAAACGAACUUAGAAGGUUGAAAAGUUCCCCAGGACCAGUUGGAUGACUCAGACAUGAAGAGCUCUUGCUGCUUUUGCAGAGGACCCAGGUUUGAUUCCGAGCACUUACAUGGUGGUCCGUGACUCCAGUUCCCCAGUACCUGACACCUCUUCUGACCUCUGUAUGCAUCAGGCACAUACACGGUGGAUAUACACACAUAUAGACAAAACAUUC
Molecule: long non-coding RNA, 484 nt
Organism: Alexandromys fortis (reed vole)
Lineage: Eukaryota; Metazoa; Chordata; Mammalia; Rodentia; Cricetidae
Exons: 3
Source: RefSeq, a predicted model, not a curated record